This 106-nucleotide small nucleolar RNA is filed under the name Setaria italica (foxtail millet). RNAcentral describes it as "Plant small nucleolar RNA R71". It matches the Rfam family "Plant small nucleolar RNA R71". Rfam says of the family: R71 is a member of the C/D box family of snoRNAs containing the C (UGAUGA) and D (CUGA) box motifs. Multiple nearly identical copies of this snoRNA have been identified in Arabidopsis, and it is thought to function as a 2'-O-ribose methylation guide for 18S ribosomal RNA. Lineage: Eukaryota; Viridiplantae; Streptophyta; Magnoliopsida; Poales; Poaceae. The record is from Rfam by way of RNAcentral.
AACUUAUGAUGUGGAAUUGCAUGGACUAGUCAUUGCAACGCUCAUAGGCUUUAGCAAUGUUCUCAGUAGAAUACUGAGCAAAGGUAGCUAUCCUACUUCCAAGGUU